AGAAGGCGGUGAUCCUGGACACGGCGCGGAUACCCCGCUGCCGGCGGCACCCUAGGUUAGGUUUUUUAUAAUGUGUUUAUAUGUAUUUUUUAUUGUUUUGUAAGUGUUUUUAUAUUUUACUUUUAUAUUCAUAUUGUAAAUAACCUAACUUAAGACGAAAAAUAAAUAAAGAAUAAA
Molecule: long non-coding RNA, 177 nt
Organism: Cydia splendana
Lineage: Eukaryota; Metazoa; Arthropoda; Insecta; Lepidoptera; Tortricidae
Exons: 2
Source: RefSeq, a predicted model, not a curated record